This 80-nucleotide transfer RNA is filed under the name Letharia lupina. RNAcentral's name for it is "tRNA-Arg". Lineage: Eukaryota; Fungi; Ascomycota; Lecanoromycetes; Lecanorales; Parmeliaceae. The record is from RNAcentral.
ACUGAUCAUUCCACAGUGGUAGCGCAUCAGACUUCUAUCUUGACAUCUGGAGGCUGCGGGUUCGAGCCCCGCCGUGAGUG